RNAcentral lists this ribosomal RNA (327 nucleotides) under uncultured eukaryote. RNAcentral describes it as "partial 18S ribosomal RNA". It matches the Rfam family "Eukaryotic small subunit ribosomal RNA", at positions 1470 to 1796 of the family's 1831-position model. The record is from RNAcentral.
CCCUUAGAUGUUCUGGGCUGCACGCGCGCUACACUGAAGCGUUCAACGAGUAUUUCACCUUGCCCGGGAGGGUUGGGUAAUCUUUUUAAAACGCUUCGUGAUGGGGAUAGAUUAUUGCAAUUAUUAAUCUUCAACGAGGAAUUCCUAGUAAGCGCGAGUCAUCAGCUCGUGCUGAUUACGUCCCUGCCCUUUGUACACACCGCCCGCCGCUCCUACCGAUUGAGUGAUCCGGUGAAUAAUUCGGACUGCAGCAGUGCUUGGUCCUCCGGGCUUUGCAGCGGAAAGUUUAGUGAACCUUAUCACUUAGAGGAAGGAGAAGUCGUAACA